Molecule: transfer RNA, 69 nt
Filed under: Sphaeroforma arctica JP610
Lineage: Eukaryota; Ichthyosporea; Ichthyophonida
Rfam family: tRNA
About the family: Transfer RNA (tRNA) molecules are approximately 80 nucleotides in length. Their secondary structure includes four short double-helical elements and three loops (D, anti-codon, and T loops). Further hydrogen bonds mediate the characteristic L-shaped molecular structure. tRNAs have two regions of fundamental functional importance: the anti-codon, which is responsible for specific mRNA codon recognition, and the 3' end, to which the tRNAs corresponding amino acid is attached (by aminoacyl-tRNA synthetases). tRNAs cope with the degeneracy of the genetic code in two manners: having more than one tRNA (with a specific anti-codon) for a particular amino acid; and 'wobble' base-pairing, i.e. permitting non-standard base-pairing at the 3rd anti-codon position.
Source: Rfam by way of RNAcentral
GGAUAGCUCAGUUGGUUUGAGCGUUGAAUUGUAAUCUAUAAGUCCCGGGUUCGAUUCCCGGGCUGUUCA